RNAcentral lists this ribosomal RNA (432 nucleotides) under uncultured bacterium. RNAcentral's name for it is "bacterial SSU rRNA". It matches the Rfam family "Bacterial small subunit ribosomal RNA", at positions 28 to 450 of the family's 1533-position model. The record is from RNAcentral.
GAUGAACGCUGGCGGCGUGCUUAACACAUGCAAGUCGAACGAAGCACUUCAUAAAGCUUGCUUUAGGAAGUGACUUAGUGGCGGACGGGUGAGUAACGCGUGGGUAACCUGCCUUACACAGGGGGAUAACAGUUAGAAAUGACUGCUAAUACCGCAUAAAACAGCAGAGUCGCAUGACUCAACUGUCAAAGAUUUAUCGGUGUAAGAUGGACCCGCGUCUGAUUAGCUUGUUGGUGGGGUAACGGCCUACCAAGGCGACGAUCAGUAGCCGGCCUGAGAGGGUGAACGGCCACAUUGGGACUGAGACACGGCCCAAACUCCUACGGGAGGCAGCAGUGGGGAAUAUUGGACAAUGGGCGAAAGCCUGAUCCAGCGACGCCGCGUGAGCGAUGAAGUAUUUCGGUAUGUAAAGCUCUAUCAGCAGGGAAGAAA